UUGGGGUUGUUUUGGAUUCGACAUUUUUUGUUAUCGUGUUAAUUUAACUAUGGCUUAUAAAGUC
Molecule: transfer RNA, 64 nt
Filed under: Phaeocystis globosa
Lineage: Eukaryota; Haptophyta; Phaeocystales; Phaeocystaceae
Source: RNAcentral